AAUGAUACCUGGCAAUACUAUGAUCAUGAAGGUGAUUUUCCCAGGACAAGGCUUAUCCACUGUACUCUGGAUGUGUUGACCCCUGCAAUUUCCCCAAAUAUGGGAAACUCGACUGCAUAAUUUGUGGCAGUGGGGGACUGUGUUCGCACUUUCCCCUG
Molecule: small nuclear RNA, 158 nt
Organism: Callithrix jacchus (white-tufted-ear marmoset)
Lineage: Eukaryota; Metazoa; Chordata; Mammalia; Primates; Cebidae
Gene: U1
Rfam family: U1 spliceosomal RNA
About the family: U1 is a small nuclear RNA (snRNA) component of the spliceosome (involved in pre-mRNA splicing). Its 5' end forms complementary base pairs with the 5' splice junction, thus defining the 5' donor site of an intron. There are significant differences in sequence and secondary structure between metazoan and yeast U1 snRNAs, the latter being much longer (568 nucleotides as compared to 164 nucleotides in human).
Source: Ensembl